AGACCAGCAAAAGAAGGAUAUUAUUUUGUAAAAGUUAAUGUGGAUGGUGAGGACAUUCCACCAGAAUUCCUCUGUAAGGGUAAUCCAAAACACUCAAGCUGCAGAUUUAGAUAUACCAUUAACAACACUCCAACAAUAACAGAGAUGCAGCAGUCAGCACCACCUGGUGAAGUUAUUGAAAUGAAAGGUAAAAUCAUGUCAGCAGUAUAUGGCAGUAACAUAAUCAGUACAGCA
This is a long non-coding RNA of Mytilus trossulus (common blue mussel), 234 nucleotides long. RefSeq lists it as uncharacterized. The record is from RefSeq and is a predicted model, not a curated record. Lineage: Eukaryota; Metazoa; Mollusca; Bivalvia; Mytilida; Mytilidae. The transcript has 3 exons.